CUAAUACAUGCAAGUCGAACGAGCUUCCGUUGAAUGACGUGCUUGCACUGAUUUCAACAAUGAAGCGAGUGGCGAACUGGUGAGUAACACGUGGGGAAUCUGCCCAGAAGCAGGGGAUAACACUUGGAAACAGGUGCUAAUACCGUAUAACAACAAAAUCCGCAUGGAUUUUGUUUGAAAGGUGGCUUCGGCUAUCACUUCUGGAUGAUCCCGCGGCGUAUUAGUUAGUUGGUGAGGUAAAGGCCCACCAAGACGAUGAUACGUAGCCGACCUGAGAGGGUAAUCGGCCACAUUGGGACUGAGACACGGCCCAAACUCCUACGGGAGGCAGCAGUAGGGAAUCUUCCACAAUGGACGAAAGUCUGAUGGAGCAAUGCCGCGUGAGUGAAGAAGGGUUUCGGCUCGUAAAACUCUGUUGUUAAAGAAGAACACCUUUGAGAGUAACUGUUCAAGGGUUGACGGUAUUUAACCAGAAAGCCACGGCUAACUACGUGCCAGCAGCCGCGGUAAUACGUAGGUGGCAAGCGUUGUCCGGAUUUAUUGGGCGUAAAGCGAGCGCAGGCGGUUUUUUAAGUCUGAUGUGAAAGCCUUCGGCUUAACCGGAGAAGUGCAUCGGAAACUGGGAGACUUGAGUGCAGAAGAGGACAGUGGAACUCCAUGUGUAGCGGUGGAAUGCGUAGAUAUAUGGAAGAACACCAGUGGCGAAGGCGGCUGUCUAGUCUGUAACUGACGCUGAGGCUCGAAAGCAUGGGUAGCGAACAGGAUUAGAUACCCUGGUAGUCCAUGCCGUAAACGAUGAGUGCUAAGUGUUGGAGGGUUUCCGCCCUUCAGUGCUGCAGCUAACGCAUUAAGCACUCCGCCUGGGGAGUACGACCGCAAGGUUGAAACUCAAAGGAAUUGACGGGGGCCCGCACAAGCGGUGGAGCAUGUGGGUUUAAUUCGAAGCUACGCGAAGAACCUUACCAGGUCUUGACAUCUUCUGCCAUCUUAGAGAUAGACGUUCCCUUCGGGGACAGAUGACAGGUGGUUGCAUGGAUGUCGUCAGCUCGUGUCGUGAGAUGUUGGGUUAAGUCCCGCACGAGCGCAUCCCUUAUAUCAGUGCAGCAUCAGUGGCACUCUGUUGAGACUGGCGUGACACCGGAGAAGGGUGGGCAUGACGUCAUUCAUCAUGCCCUUAUGACUGGGGCUUAC
RNAcentral lists this ribosomal RNA (1191 nucleotides) under Levilactobacillus brevis. RNAcentral's name for it is "bacterial SSU rRNA". It matches the Rfam family "Bacterial small subunit ribosomal RNA", at positions 48 to 1217 of the family's 1533-position model. The record is from RNAcentral. Lineage: Bacteria; Bacillati; Bacillota; Bacilli; Lactobacillales; Lactobacillaceae.